Long non-coding RNA from Mustela erminea (ermine), 727 nucleotides. RefSeq lists it as uncharacterized. Lineage: Eukaryota; Metazoa; Chordata; Mammalia; Carnivora; Mustelidae. The record is from RefSeq and is a predicted model, not a curated record. The transcript has 6 exons.
CAGAGAGCAAGCCCAUCACCUCUCGCACAACUUCCCACAGAAGCCCUCCUAGCUUCCAGCUCCGCCAUGCUCUGUGAUUCCUUCUCUCAGGUUCCUGAGCAGAAGUGAAAAUUAGGUUUGAUGACAAGGCUUGGAAAAGGGAGAAGAGCUGGGGAGAAAUACAGUCAUAAUAAAGGAACCCAUUUGACUUCACUGAAGUUUUGGCUUAUGUAGAGAAUGGUUAGGAUUGUUUUGGAAUCCUAAAGAUCUACUUUCAAACUUUGACCCUGCUGCUUAUCUGUGUGAAUUUGGAUUUUCACAAAGAAAAAAUGCCCCAAGGAGCUUUGCUGUAUAAUUAGGGUUGUUGGAGGAUUGAAUUAACCUAAGCAGAGUCUUGAGAACAUAGCAUAUACAGCAUGUAUUCAGCAAGUGUAAGCUGGUAUAAUACAAUGUGCAGCUGCCAAAGGUCAUCUGACAUAAUAGCUGAUGAAUUCAAGCCCAGUGGAUUUCAUUUGCAAUUUUCAAUUUACUGAGGCCUCCAAACCCCACGGUGAUAAAAGCUUCCCCUAUCGUGGCCUGUCACAAACAUCAAGAAACUGAACAAACCCACAAGAAAGAAAAAAGAGAAAGCUGUGCAUCCUCGCAGGUACAGAUAAGGAGAACAGGAAGAAAUGGUAUCAUGCAGGAAGGUACGGAGCAGCUUGUGUGGCUAGUUCUCUAAAUGCCAAUUGAAAGGAAAAGACUAUGA